AAUCCUCAAAAAGCCCUUUCUUGAUCUUUUAAAGAAAAGGAUUUUUGGACUUGGAGGACCAAUGCUCGCUUUCAAUUAUUUGAAAGGGAGCUCCUCUUAAAUAAAUCAGUGGGGUUUGCUUUGCUGAUCCUUGACGUGAUAAAGUGAUUCUACGUUUUGGAUAUAGCAUCGUGCUUUUAAACGCCUGCUUCUAAUUGUCCUUAUGGACGAUGAUGGUGUUCUGGUCACCACCACACCUGUGUCGGUGGGAGGCUAGACCCACAAGAGAAAA
Molecule: unclassified non-coding RNA, 271 nt
Filed under: uncultured Russula
Lineage: Eukaryota; Fungi; Basidiomycota; Agaricomycetes; Russulales; Russulaceae
Description: sequence contains ITS2
Source: RNAcentral